RNAcentral lists this ribosomal RNA (490 nucleotides) under uncultured bacterium. RNAcentral describes it as "partial 16S ribosomal RNA". It matches the Rfam family "Bacterial small subunit ribosomal RNA", at positions 30 to 507 of the family's 1533-position model. The record is from RNAcentral.
AUUGAACGCUGGCGGCAGGCCUAACACAUGCAAGUCGAACGGUAACAGGAAGACGCUUGCUUCUUUGCUGACGAGUGGCGGACGGGUGAGUAAUGUCUGGGAAACUGCCUGAUGGAGGGGGAUAACUACUGGAAACGGUAGCUAAUACCGCAUAACGUCGCAAGACCAAAAAGGGGGACCUUCGGGCCUCUUGCCAUCGGAUGUGCCCAGAUGGGAUUAGCUAGUAGGUGGGGUAACGGCUCACCUAGGCGACGAUCCCCAGCUGGUCUGAGAGGAUGACCAGCCACACUGGAACUGAGACACGGUCCAGACUCCUACGGGAGGCAGCAGUGGGGAAUAUUGCACAAUGGGCGCAAGCCUGAUGCAGCCAUGCCGCGUGUAUGAAGAAGGCCUUCGGGUUGUAAAGUACUUUCAGCGGGGAGGAAGGGAGUAAAGUUAAUACCUUUGCUCAUUGACGUUACCCGCAGAAGAAGCACCGGCUAACUCCGUG